GAUGCCAGUAUCAACGUCUGGGUUGAGCAAAGACGGCUCCACUUCAUGGGCGGGUUUUAAUUCAUCUGAUCUUCCUCCGUUCUCCCCGGAGGAGCGUGUGAGCAAGUUAGUUUCGUUUCUCGUCUACUGAGUUCAGUCGUCAUCGUUAAGAUCUACGAUGGGACUCUUCCUUAUUUUGGCUCUUUUGGGGAUUAAUGGCGCAGAUGCAGCACGCCACUCCCUCACCUACAUUACAACUGCAUCAUCUGGAGUUCCAAACUUCCCAGAGUAUGUGGUGGUUGGUUUGGUGAACAAUGUUACGUUCACUCACUGCGACAGUCAUGGCAGGAGUGUGGAACCCAAACAGGACUGGAUGACUCGACUCACUCAUGAUGAUCCGGAAUAUUUACAGAGAAACACAGAGACGUGUUUGACAAAUUGGCUGGUGAGCAAGGACAACAUUAAAGUUGCGAAAAAAAGAUUCAACCAGACUGGAGGGGUCCACAUGUUUCAGGUGAUGCACGGCUGUGAGUGGGACGAUGAGACUGGAGAGGUCAGAGGUCAUUAUCAGCUCGCUUACGAUGGACAAGACUUUCUAUCGUGGGACCUGAAGACUCUGACAUGGGUCGCAGCCAAACCACAGGCUGUCAUUACCAAACACCAGUGGGACAAUAAUGAAGGUUGGAACAAAUAUCUACAGAACUACCUGAAGACCCAGUAUCCUAUGUGGCUCAAGAAGCUUCUGGAAUACGGGAAGAGCUCCCUCCUCAGAACAGAGCUUCCAUCAGUGUCUCUCCUCCAGAAGACUCCGUCCUCUCCCAUCAUCUGCCACGCUACAGGCUUCUACCCUCCACGAGCCAAGUUGUUCUGGACCAAAGACGGAGAGGAGCUUCACGAUAAUGUUGAUAUUGAAGAGGUCCUCCCCAACCCUGAUGGAACCUACCAGAUGAUGGCUGAGCUGAAACUACCAGACCCGUCUGAAGACUGGGAGAGGUUCACCUGUGUGUUCCAGCUUGAAGGUGUAGAGGAAGCCUUGCACACCAACCUGGACAAAGAGGCCAUUUUAACCAACUGGAAGAAAGACCAGACCGUCCCCAUCGCUGUCUCAGUGGCUGUUCUUGUUCUGCUCGUCGCUGCUGCUGCUGUUAUUGGAGUGGUCAUGAGGAGAAGAGCAGGCCAAAGUACAGAAACUGACUCCAACAGUUCUGAGAAAGAGCUUCUUCCAGACUAUACGUGUUCAGACACAUCGGGGCAUCUUCUGCAUGAAGCUCCUGCGCGAGCAUGAAGGAGUGUCGCAGGGAAAGAGUGGAGCCGCAAAGUCAAAGUGCACCUUCACCAGAUGGGACGAACCGCUACUGUUUUGCUGUUGCUUUAUUUUUGUUUUAUUUUGAUUUUAUUUGUUUGGUUCCGCUUCGUUUUGUCCAGUUUUGUUUUUGUCCUUUUCUUUAUUUCCCUUUUUGGUUGUGUCCAUUUUGGUUCAUUUUGUUUUCGUGACUUGCUUUGUUUUCUUGUUUUUGUAUUGCUUUACAUUAGUAAGACGGGGUUUUUACUUUGCAUGCGUUUAGUUUCUUGAGACUGGUUCAUGUUGGGUUUUGUUAGAUGUUCUUCUGCUAUUAGUUCAUUUUUGAUUUAGUCUGUCAUUUUGUGUCAUUUCCCUGUGUGACCUGGUCACCUAGUUACUGCAGCCCUGUCUCAUGUCUCUCGACCAAGUGCUUGCGUGUCUUUAGUGUAAUCAUUAUUUGGAGAGAAUUUUUUGGAGAGUUUUCACUGUUGAAUUAUGAAAUAAAGGGUUAGGGUUAAACUUUUUUUUCAUAGACAUGUCAUUACUUUACAUAAUAUCUAUCGAUUUCAUAAUUCAACAUUAAAAACUCCCCAAAUUCACAAAUGAAUGCAGAACAUUAAUCCAGUAAAACAUUUCACUUAACUGUUUUGGUAUUUUUCAUCCGAUUUUGAAAAAUAUGCAUGACAGGAGGUGUAUUAAUUUGUAAAAAAUGUUGAAGUCAUAUUCUUACAAUACAUAACGCCUAUUUAUUAACACAGCUCAAUCAUCUCAGUAACUUUCAACAAACAUAGCAGCUAUUUUCGACAUGUCAAACACUUCGCAUGAGCUUACUGCGUUGUUAGCGUAACUGUUUUUUUUUUUUUUUUUUUGCGGGCUAGUUUGCAUUGCAGUUUGUAGUUUCGUAGGCUGGCAGAAGUUUGUGUCAGCGAUCUCAUAAUCCUGACCCCCAGAUGAUGACGAUGAGACUCCAUAUUUUGUGCUACUCCUGAGACUUCAUUAAUCGAACCGUUCACCACGUUCGGUUGUUGUUCUAUUUCAUAUGUGCUCCGCCCUCUAACGGACUUCGCUAUUGGUUGAACCACUCCGAGGGUCCGCCUCUUGGCUUAACUCUCUGCCCAGGCGCUAUGGCGGCUACUUGUGCUUCCUGCCAUAUUUUUUUGGAGGAUGGAGACACCCAUGACUGCUGCUUCAAUUGUCUGGGGCACAGCACGUGUUGGAGUACGACUCCUAUCCUGAGUGUGUCGACCUCCCUGUGGACGAGCGGCGGAAGAGAGAGGCGCUCCGCUCUUGGUUCGGUGGCCUGGUGGAGCAGACCAAGCCGCCGUCGAAGUCAAAGGACAAAGGCAAGGGCAAGCAACCCAAGAUGAAGCCAUGGGACCUCUACGACGAGAGCAUUGAAGUCUGGGUCUUCAUGGAAGAACACCCGGAGCUUCUUUUUGCCAAUGUCUCAGCUUAGGGUCUGACCGGAGAGAACGAGUCGAGUGGGGAUGAGGAUGAGAGUGUAGAGGACCA
Synchiropus splendidus (mandarinfish) is the source of this 2773-nucleotide RNA transcript. It is a transcript of the gene named class I histocompatibility antigen, F10 alpha chain-like, with no coding region annotated. The transcript is spliced from 9 exons. NCBI's taxonomy places the organism in Eukaryota, Metazoa, Chordata, Actinopteri, Syngnathiformes, Callionymidae. The record is from RefSeq and is a predicted model, not a curated record.